CUGCCUUAUAAUGCAGUUCGAGCGGACUUGAUGAGAAGCUUGCUUUCUCUGAUGGUUAGCGGCGGACGGGUGAGUAACACGUAGGCAACCUGCCCUCAAGUUUGGGACAACUACCGGAAACGGUAGCUAAUACCGAAUAAUUGUUUUCUUCGCCUGAAGGAAACUGGAAAGACGGAGCAAUCUGUCACUUGGGGAUGGGCCUGCGGCGCAUUAGCUAGUUGGUGAGGUAACGGCUCACCAAGGCGACGAUGCGUAGCCGACCUGAGAGGGUGAUCGGCCACACUGGGACUGAGACACGGCCCAGACUCCUACGGGAGGCAGCAGUAGGGAAUCUUCCGCAAUGGGCGAAAGCCUGACGGAGCAAUGCCGCGUGAGUGAUGAAGGUUUUCGGAUCGUAAAGCUCUGUUGCCAGGGAAGAACGCUUGGGAGAGUAACUGCUCUCAAGGUGACGGUACCUGAGAAGAAAGCCCCGGCUAACUACGUGCCAGCAGCCGCGGUAAUACGUAGGGGGCAAGCGUUGUCCGGAAUUAUUGGGCGUAAAGCGCGCGCAGGCGGUCAUUUAAGUCUGGUGUUUAAUCCCGGGGCUCAACCCCGGAUCGCACUGGAAACUGGGUGACUUG
Molecule: ribosomal RNA, 620 nt
Filed under: Paenibacillus amylolyticus
Lineage: Bacteria; Bacillati; Bacillota; Bacilli; Caryophanales; Paenibacillaceae
Description: bacterial SSU rRNA
Rfam family: Bacterial small subunit ribosomal RNA
Source: RNAcentral